AGAAUAAGGGAUUAAAUAUCUCUUUCCUUAUGCAUCCUUGUUUUAUAUAAAAAUAUUCACAACAAAUGUAGAAUUAAAUAGGUGAUAUCCUUAUAACCUAUAACAUUGUCUCAGAAGGCUAGGCGUGUGGCUCAGUGGGCAGAGUGCCAGUCUAGCAUGCAUGAGGCUCUGGGUUCAGUCCCCUGCACGACGUAAACCCAGUGUGACAGUGCAUGCUUAUUACAUCAACACUCAGAAGAUGUAGGCAGAAGGAGUUCAAGGCUGCCCUGAGCCACAUGGCGAGUUCAAGUCCAGCCUGGUAUAUGUAAUACUCUCUUAGAAAGUGAUGUUUUAGGAACCAUUAAUAAUUUACUGCCAAUUUGACUCUAAUAAUGUGGGUUGUUUAACUGAUCUAAUAACUAAUAAAACCAUGUGUUUCACACAAGUUUUUAAUCCAGAAAAUAGAAAGAGUUCAGUACCAACAAAGUUGUUAGUGAUUAAAAAAUUGGGAAGAAGGAAGAUAACAUGAGGUAAUAAAUAGCAUUGGACUUCAGAAGGCUGCACUCAUGUAGUUCGUUUGACUUGGAAAUCCAUACAAAUGACAGGAGACCACAUUUAGUGUUUAGAACAGGGAGUAAAACAUGGGCAUGCUUGAUAAAAAAAAAAAAAA
This 649-nucleotide long non-coding RNA is filed under the name Rattus norvegicus (Norway rat). RNAcentral describes it as "long non-coding RNA NONRATT015348". The record is from RNAcentral. Lineage: Eukaryota; Metazoa; Chordata; Mammalia; Rodentia; Muridae.